AUGUUCGCCGACAUGGGCUUUAGCUUCUCCGCCUACUCUUCUUCGCCAUCGGACUACUCCUACUCAUACUCCCCUGUCUUCUCCCACCCCCACUCAGACUACUCCUCCUUCUUCUCUCCCUCUUCCUCCGCUGCUCUGGCACAACCAUCAUCGCUAUCUCUGCCUCUCCUGCAUCAACAACAUCAAGCCACUGUUGUUGCUGCGCCCAACGACGUCGCCGCCGCCGCCAUGUACCACCACCUCGGAGACAUGGGGCAGCCAUCCCUGAUAUCAGAGUAUGACCUUGGAGCAGAAGGCGACCUGUUCAAGGCUCCGGAGCCCAUAAUCGAGGAACCGCUGCUCGCCCUCGACCCGGUCGCAGAGGCCAUCUCGAUGAUGUCCGGCAGCGGCAACACCAUCAAGGCGUCGGACAUGAGCCUGAGUGAGGCGCUGUACGAGUGCGAGAAGGAGCUCAUGGAGGAGUCGGCCAUCGAGGAGACCAUAUCCGAGCUGCUGGACGCCAAGAUCCCCAUGCUGCAGGUCGAGGACAUGCCCGGAGAGCUCAUGUCGACAACGACUGCUGCCGCCGGCGAGUGCUUGGUCCAGAAGAGCGUCAGCUCCGGGUGCCUCAACUCGGCGGACUGGAUCAACGGUUUGGCGAUGCAGCCCAACUUCUUCAACUUCCAAGGGCUCGACUUGGAGGCCGCGUUCGGGCUCCGGCGAGCCUACAGCGAGGGUGACGUUCAGAUCCUUGGUGCCAACACCCCUCCAGCUGGGAUCGCGGCAAAUGUGCACGCAGCUGGUGAGAGGCUUCUGACCAUCAGUGACCUGAAACGUGAGGAAAGGAAACAGAAGCUCAACAGGUACAGGGAGAAGAAGAUCCAGAGGAACUUCGGCAGAAAGAUCAAGUAUGCUUGCAGGAAGGUUCUAGCAGACAGCCAACCGAGGGUGCGAGGGAGGUUCGUCAAGAUGGAUGUCGGCGACAUGCUCAAGCCAAGGAAGUAG
RNAcentral lists this ribosomal RNA (984 nucleotides) under Triticum aestivum (bread wheat). RNAcentral's name for it is "partial small subunit ribosomal RNA". Lineage: Eukaryota; Viridiplantae; Streptophyta; Magnoliopsida; Poales; Poaceae. The record is from RNAcentral.